Molecule: long non-coding RNA, 122 nt
Organism: Thalassophryne amazonica
Lineage: Eukaryota; Metazoa; Chordata; Actinopteri; Batrachoidiformes; Batrachoididae
Exons: 3
Source: RefSeq, a predicted model, not a curated record
GUCUAUGGGCAUUAAACACUAGUGAGUGUUCAACUGAGGCCUCGUGAAGUCUUUUUAGUUUUGUUUCUGAGCCCCCUAGAUGGCUGUGUCUAUGAAGAAAAGGAUUGUAAGGAAACUAAUGU